RNAcentral lists this ribosomal RNA (957 nucleotides) under Microbacterium arborescens. RNAcentral's name for it is "bacterial SSU rRNA". It matches the Rfam family "Bacterial small subunit ribosomal RNA", at positions 33 to 1001 of the family's 1533-position model. Lineage: Bacteria; Bacillati; Actinomycetota; Actinomycetes; Micrococcales; Microbacteriaceae. The record is from RNAcentral.
ACGCUGGCGGCGUGCUUAACACAUGCAAGUCGAACGGUGAAGCAGAGCUUGCUCUGUGGAUCAGUGGCGAACGGGUGAGUAACACGUGAGCAAUCUGCCCCUGACUCUGGGAUAAGCGCUGGAAACGGCGUCUAAUACCGGAUACGAGCUGCGACCGCAUGGUCAGUAGCUGGAAAGAAUUUCGGUCAGGGAUGAGCUCGCGGCCUAUCAGCUUGUUGGUGAGGUAAUGGCUCACCAAGGCGUCGACGGGUAGCCGGCCUGAGAGGGUGACCGGCCACACUGGGACUGAGACACGGCCCAGACUCCUACGGGAGGCAGCAGUGGGGAAUAUUGCACAAUGGGCGCAAGCCUGAUGCAGCAACGCCGCGUGAGGGAUGACGGCCUUCGGGUUGUAAACCUCUUUUAGCAGGGAAGAAGCGAAAGUGACGGUACCUGCAGAAAAAGCGCCGGCUAACUACGUGCCAGCAGCCGCGGUAAUACGUAGGGCGCAAGCGUUAUCCGGAAUUAUUGGGCGUAAAGAGCUCGUAGGCGGUCUGUCGCGUCUGCUGUGAAAACCCGAGGCUCAACCUCGGGCCUGCAGUGGGUACGGGCAGACUAGAGUGCGGUAGGGGAGAUUGGAAUUCCUGGUGUAGCGGUGGAAUGCGCAGAUAUCAGGAGGAACACCGAUGGCGAAGGCAGAUCUCUGGGCCGUAACUGACGCUGAGGAGCGAAAGGGUGGGGAGCAAACAGGCUUAGAUACCCUGGUAGUCCACCCCGUAAACGUUGGGAACUAGUUGUGGGGUCCAUUCCACGGAUUCCGUGACGCAGCUAACGCAUUAAGUUCCCCGCCUGGGGAGUACGGCCGCAAGGCUAAAACUCAAAGGAAUUGACGGGGACCCGCACAAGCGGCGGAGCAUGCGGAUUAAUUCGAUGCAACGCGAAGAACCUUACCAAGGCUUGACAUAUAGAGGAAACGUC